UCGAGAAUCUUUCACAAUGGGGGCAACCCUGAUGGAGCGACGCCGCGUGGAGGAUAAGGUCUUCGGAUUGUAAACUCCUGUCAUGCGAGAACAAGGUUGUAGAGUUAAUAGCUUUGCAAAUUGAUGGUACCGCAAGAGGAAGAGACGGCUAACUCUGUGCCAGCAGCCGCGGUAAUACAGAGGUCUCAAGCGUUGUUCGGAAUCACUGGGCGUAAAGGGUGCGUAGGUGGCGUGGUAAGUCAGAUGUGAAAGCCCGGGGCUCAACCUCGGAAUUGCAUCCGAUACUGCCGUGCUAGAGUACUGAAGAGGUGACUAGAAUUCUCGGUGUAGCAGUGAAAUGCGUAGAUAUCGAGAGGAAUACCAACGGCGAAGGCAGGUCACUGGGCAGUUACUGACACUGAGGCACGAAGGCCAGGGGAGCAAACGGGAUUAGAUACCCUUGUAGUCCCUGAGCGGGCUGGCAAGGCGCAU
This 471-nucleotide ribosomal RNA is filed under the name uncultured bacterium. RNAcentral describes it as "bacterial SSU rRNA". It matches the Rfam family "Bacterial small subunit ribosomal RNA", at positions 355 to 825 of the family's 1533-position model. The record is from RNAcentral.